GACGAACGCUGGCGGCGUGCCUAAUACAUGCAAGUUGAGCGCUGAAGGUUGGUACUUGUACCAACUGGAUGAGCAGCGAACGGGUGAGUAACGCGUGGGGAAUCUGCCUUUGAGCGGGGGACAACAUUUGGAAACGAAUGCUAAUACCGCAUAAAAACUUUAAACACAAGUUUUAAGUUUGAAAGAUGCAAUUGCAUCACUCAAAGAUGAUCCCGCGUUGUAUUAGGUAGUUGGUGAGGUAAAGGCUCACCAAGGCGAUGAUACAUAGCCGACCUGAGAGGGUGAUCGGCCAAAUUGGGACUGAGACACGGCCCAAACCCCUACGGGAAGGAGCAGUAGGGAAUCUUCGGCAAUGGACGAAAGUCUGACCGAGCAAAGCCGCGGGAGUGAAGAAGGGUUUCGGAUCGUAAAACUCUGUUGGUAGAGAAGAACGUUGGUGAGAGUGGAAAGCUCAUCAAGUGACGGUAACUACCCAGAAAGGGACGGCUAACUACGUG
RNAcentral lists this ribosomal RNA (497 nucleotides) under uncultured bacterium. Its description in RNAcentral is "partial 16S ribosomal RNA". It matches the Rfam family "Bacterial small subunit ribosomal RNA", at positions 28 to 507 of the family's 1533-position model. The record is from RNAcentral.